Neogale vison (American mink) is the source of this 148-nucleotide small nuclear RNA. Its record names the gene U4. It matches the Rfam family "U4 spliceosomal RNA". From Rfam's summary of the family: U4 small nuclear RNA (U4 snRNA) is a component of the major U2-dependent spliceosome. The structure of U4 snRNA from yeast and human has been reported. Lineage: Eukaryota; Metazoa; Chordata; Mammalia; Carnivora; Mustelidae. The record is from Ensembl.
AGCUUUGCGCAGUGGCAGUAUCGUAGCCAAUGAGGUUUAUCCGAGGCGCGAUUAUUGCUAAUUGAAAGUGAGCAAUUCAGUGGCAUUCACAGAGUAGAGCAGCCACACCCCGAUCUAGUUCCAGAACAUUUUUAUCUAGCUCCAGAAC